This is an RNA transcript of Xenopus tropicalis (tropical clawed frog), 1895 nucleotides long. It is a transcript of the gene named oocyte zinc finger protein XlCOF7.1-like, with no coding region annotated. Lineage: Eukaryota; Metazoa; Chordata; Amphibia; Anura; Pipidae. The record is from RefSeq and is a predicted model, not a curated record. The transcript has a single exon.
AAUUGGACAGCACUGCAUUAGCAUAUUAAAAACAGAGGAGUCGGAGAAUUUAUCUACCAACUCCACAGCCCUGGUUUAAAUGACUUUAAUGACUUGAACCUUCCUUAUUUUAUUUUUCAUAAUGACAAAAUCCAAGUUAUUUCCCUCAGAUAUAUCUCUGAUCUCUAUCCUUCCCUUUAGCAGCCUGUGAGUAUAAAGAUGGGAGCGAUGUUACAGCACAUACGGAAGCAACUUUAUGUUGUAAUAAUGAUGGGAAUCUCACAAACCCUGAUGUUUCUUCAGCGGAACAGCCCCCACCGGCCGAUGGGAUUAAAGAGGAGGCGGUUUCAUGUGGAGAGAGAAACCAAUCAGAUUACAGCAUUAAUCCCCUUACAGAACAGAUACAGGGAACAGACACACCUACUCCUAUCAUGGGGUGCAGGCUGAAUAACAGCUCGGCAGUUAAUUAUGCAUCAAAUGAUGUAAAGGAGGAGUUAAUUUCUUCAUGGGAAGGGGGAAACCAAUCAGAUUGCAGCAUUAAUCCCCUUACAGACCAGAUACAGGGAACAAAUACUCCUAUCAUGGGGAGCAGCCAGAAUACUUUACAAAUGAUGGAUAAUAAUCAUGAUGAAAAUUCCCACAUAACAGAAAAUACAUUACGUAGGAAAUACAGCUGCAAUGAGUGUCAGAUACAUUUUAGUAAUAAGAGCGACUUUCAUAAACACCAGAGAACCCACAAAAGAAAGAAACUUUUUCCUUGUUCUGAUUGUGGGAAAUGUUUUUCAAACCAAUAUAGCCUUAUUACUCAUCAAAGGACUCACACAGGGGAGAAACCAUUUUCAUGUUCUGAUUGUGGGAAAGGUUUUUCAAAACGAUAUAGCCUUAUUACUCAUCAAAGGACUCACACAGGGGAGAAACCAUUUUCAUGUUCUGAAUGUGGGAAAGGUUUCACAAACCAAUCAUACCUUAAAGCUCAUCAUAUAACCCACAUGGGGGUGAAACCAUUUUCAUGUUCUGAAUGUGGAAAAUGUUUCACAAACCAAUCAUACCUUAAAGUUCAUCACAGAACCCACACAGGGGAGAAACCAUUUUCAUGUUCUGAUUGUGGGAAAAGUUUUUCAAAACGAUAUAACCUUAUUACUCAUCAAAGCACUCACACAGGGGAGAAACCAUUUUCAUGUUCUGAAUGUGGAAAAUGUUUCACAAACCAAUCAUACCUUAAAGCUCAUCAUAAAACCCACAUGGGGGUGAAACCAUUUUCUUGUUCUGAAUGUGGGAAAUGUUUUUUAAAGCAAUUCCGCCUUAAACUUCAUUAUAGAACCCACACAGGGGAGAAACCAUUUUCAUGUUCUGAAUGUGGGAAAUGUUUUUCAAAGCAAUCCUAUCUUACAAUUCAUUAUAGAACCCACACAGGGGAGAAACCAUUUUCUUGUUCUGAAUGUGGGAAAUGUUUUUCACAGCAAUCCCAUCUUAAAUUUCAUUAUAAAACCCACACAGGGGCGAAACCAUUUUCUUGUUCUGAAUGUGGGAAAUGUUUUUCAAAGCAAUCCCAUCUUAAAAUUCAUUAUAGAGCUCACACAGGGGAGAAACCAUUUUCUUGUUCUUAAUGUGGGAAAUGUUUUUUUAAGAAAAUCUCAUCUAAAUCUUCAUCAAAGGACUCACAAAGUGGAGAAACCAUGUUCCUAGUGUAAAUGAGUUAAAUGAUUUGCAUUGAACAGUUGUCUAAAAAUACUUUAACAACGAGGAAAACCGUAAACUCGUUAUACAAAGGGAGCAUCAGGCAAACAUUUUCUUUCAAGCAGAUUCCAUCUUAAUAUAUGUUUCAGUAUUUACAGAGAGGAACACAUUUGUGCCCCAUAAAAUAUUUCCUUAAGAGAAUCCUAAAGACUCCUGAUGGGCACUGGGCAAUUCUGAGA